CAGCCGCCGCGGUAAAACGGAGGGUGCAAGCGUUAAUCGGAAUUACUGGGCGUAAAGCGCACGCAGGCGGUUUGUUAAGUCAGAUGUGAAAUCCCCGAGCUUAACUUGGGAACUGCAUUCGAAACUGGCAAGCUAGAGUCUUGUAGAGGGGGGUAGAAUUCCAGGUGUAGCGGUGAAAUGCGUAGAGAUCUGGAGGAACACCGGUGGCGAAGGCGGCCCCCUGGACAAAGACUGACGCUCAGGUGCGAAAGCGUGGGGAGCAAACAGGAUUAGAUACCCGCGUAGUCCCUGUCUCUUAUAA
Molecule: ribosomal RNA, 301 nt
Filed under: uncultured bacterium
Lineage: Bacteria
Description: partial 16S ribosomal RNA
Rfam family: Bacterial small subunit ribosomal RNA
Source: RNAcentral